Molecule: non-coding RNA, 1359 nt
Organism: Cricetulus griseus (Chinese hamster)
Lineage: Eukaryota; Metazoa; Chordata; Mammalia; Rodentia; Cricetidae
Source: RefSeq, a predicted model, not a curated record
GCCCCCCCAGCUCGCCGCGUGCUCGUCCUUUGCGCGCGUCGCCGUCGGCACGUUGCCACCCGUCUCUUCCGAGUAUGUCCGGCCGCUCGGCUCUACGUGGCGUGGGAGUGGCGCCAGAAUUCAAACGAACAGCCGCAGUUGUAGGCGAGGUCACCGCCUGCUUUGAGCCAAGUCGGCUAGGACUCUCCGUGGCUGGGAGCGGCCUUUACGCGCGGCCCGUGGAGGAGCCUGGCUGGCCCGGUGGCCGGUGCUGCGCUUGGUCCGCGGCGGCGCAGCUGAAUGGACGUCGGCGGACAGUACUAAGACGGUGAAAACCGGAAAGCCCUACGUUUAUCCUUCGUGCACCCUGCGGGUACCGUAUGUCAGCAGAAGGCCACGCUGUCGCGUUCACGCCACCCAACUCCUGUUCAGGCACCCAGCCAGGACUGAGAAUGGCCCAAGAGCCAUGCCUUUGGGUGUAUUUGUGAGGAUGUUUUCAGAGAAGUUGAACUGAAGAAAGAAGAGUACCCGGAAUAUGGAUGGCAUCAUCCCAUGGAGGAGGAGACAACUCUUCAAAACAACUCCUUCCCAGAAUAGAAAUGAAGCCUUUGAUUGGAACAAGAACACUUCAUCUGUUAAGACAGAAGAGAAGGCAGGUAUUGACAGAGGAAGUCACGUGCAGCCUGUCCACCAUCCCAUGGCUAUGCAAGAGUGUGCUUUGGCUGAGCAUAGAACAUUUUAUUUUACACAGAUUCACAAAGUCCCCACAGCCUGUGCUGGGAAUAUCACUGUGUUUGGCAAUAACUUUCCCUGUUCUAGGGUUUAUGUGCACUUCUCUAUUCUGCAUUAAGAAUGUGCAUCCUCCAGAGACCCACAGCCAAACAUCAGGCAGAGCUCCAGGAACCUCAAGGAAGAGGGGAAGGAAGGAUUGUAACAGCCAGGGGGGUUGGGUCAAGGACACCAGGAGAACACAGUCCACAGAAUAAACUAAGCAGGGCUGCAAGGGGCUCAGAGAGACUGAUGUGGCAGUCACUGAGCCUGUAUGGGUCUGUACUAGGUCCUCUGCAUAUAUGCUAUGGUUGUGUAGCUUGGUCUUCUGGUGGAACUCCUAACAGUGGGAAUGGGGGCGGGUAUCUCUGAUUCUUUUGCUUUCUCUUGGAACCUUUAACCUCCUAUUGGAUUGCUUCAUUCAGCCUUGAAGUGAGGAUUUGUGCUUAGUCUUACAGUAACUUACGCUGUGUUUGGUUGAUAUCCCUGGGAGACUUGCUCUUUUAAUGAAGGGAAACAGAAGAAGAAUGGAUCUGGGGCAAAGGGGAGUUGUGUGUUUGGGGACAGGGGCGAGAGUGCAGGGAGGGGCAACUCUGGUUGGGAUGCAAUGUA